Non-coding RNA from Dipodomys ordii (Ord's kangaroo rat), 70 nucleotides. The record is from Rfam. Lineage: Eukaryota; Metazoa; Chordata; Mammalia; Rodentia; Heteromyidae.
GGGAAUGUGGCUUAGUGGUAGAGUGCUUGCCUAGCAUGCAUGAAGCCCUGGGUUAGAUUUCUCAGUACCA